GAGACAGCAGUCGCCGCGGUAAUACAGAGGAUGCAAGCGUUAUCCGGAAUGAUUGGGCGUAAAGCGUCUGUAGGUGGCUUUUCAAGUCCGCCGUCAAAUCCCAGGGCUCAACCCUGGACAGGCGGUGGAAACUGCCAAUCUAGAGUAUCGGAGAGGAAAGUGGAAUUCCUAGUGUAGCGGUGAAAUGCGUAGAUAUUAGGAAGAACACCAGUGGCGAAGGCGGCUUUCUGGACUGUAACUGACGCUGAGGCUCGAAAGCCAGGGGAGCGAACGGGAUUAGAUACCCCAGUAGUCCCUGUCUCUUAUAC
RNAcentral lists this ribosomal RNA (308 nucleotides) under uncultured bacterium. RNAcentral describes it as "partial 16S ribosomal RNA". It matches the Rfam family "Bacterial small subunit ribosomal RNA", at positions 505 to 807 of the family's 1533-position model. The record is from RNAcentral.